This 444-nucleotide ribosomal RNA is filed under the name uncultured bacterium. RNAcentral describes it as "partial 16S ribosomal RNA". It matches the Rfam family "Bacterial small subunit ribosomal RNA", at positions 339 to 795 of the family's 1533-position model. The record is from RNAcentral.
CUACGGGAUGCACCAGUGGGGAAUAUUGCACAAUGGGCGCAAGCCUGAUGCAGCAACGCCGCGUGAGGGAUGAAGGCCUUCGGGUUGUAAACCUCUUUUAGCAGGGAAGAAGCGAAAGUGACGGUACCUGCAGAAAAAGCACCGGCUAACUACGUGCCAGCAGCCGCGGUAAUACGUAGGGUGCAAGCGUUGUCCGGAAUUAUUGGGCGUAAAGAGCUCGUAGGCGGUUUGUCACGUCUGCUGUGAAAAUCCAAGGCUCAACCUUGGACUUGCAGUGGGUACGGGCAGGCUAGAGUGCGGUAGGGGAGAUGGGAAUUCCUGGUGUGGCGGUGGAAUGCGCAGAUAUCAGGAGGAACACCAAUGGCGAAGGCACAUCUCUGGGCCGUAACUGACGCUGAGGAGCGAAAGCGUGGGGAGCGAACAGGAUUAGAUACCCAAGUAGUC